Molecule: transfer RNA, 73 nt
Organism: Archaeoglobus fulgidus DSM 4304
Lineage: Archaea; Methanobacteriati; Methanobacteriota; Archaeoglobi; Archaeoglobales; Archaeoglobaceae
Rfam family: tRNA
About the family: Transfer RNA (tRNA) molecules are approximately 80 nucleotides in length. Their secondary structure includes four short double-helical elements and three loops (D, anti-codon, and T loops).
Source: Rfam
GCCACGGUAGCUCAGCAGGAAGAGCGCGUGCUUGGUAAGCACGAGGUCCCGGGUUCAAAUCCCGGCCGUGGCU